UACUUAUUUCUUCUGUCUUUCAUCAAUCUUUUAGACCGAAAUUUACUUAUCUAGAAAUCAAGAAUCCUAAACAAGUAAUGCCUUUUGUUUUAGCUAAGUAAGUGAUUAAAAAUGUUAAACCAUGAUCCAACUCCUAAUUAGACUAUGUCCUUUAUUUUAUGUUUAUUCUUAAUCCCAUGAAUGCCUAUCAAUAUGCAGAGAAUAAUAUCAUUGGGUUAUUCCUUUUCUCCACGUCUAUCGUAAUGUCUAUCAUCUGUAAAAUUUAUACUUAAUACGAUCUAGGAAUAUCCUCAACCUCAAUUAUAAAGUAAUAGCAAGUCCUUAAUAUCGAUAGUACAUAAGCCAAUUGUUUCAUGUUCCAUCAAAGUUUUAAAAUAUAAUAUCAUCUUAUCUAUCCACACGUCUUUUGUUCAUUAGUCUUUUCUUAUUUAAAUUUCGCAAGAUAUUUUUUUUUUUUAAAUUCUUAAAUUUACCCAUAGUUUCUCGGGUUAGCACACUGCCACCUGGUGUUAUUAUCUAGAUCUCGACUGAGUUCAGGUAUUUCCUCCUUUCGCUGACAUGUCAAAAUUUUUAUCAAUUACCUUACGAUUUACUUCACUAGAUUCUUUCGUUCUCUUUUCUCUAAGGAUUUAAAUUUUAUUAAUUUAAUAUUUAUCGAAGAGCUCGGAGAAAUUAAUUGCCACAUGCUUAAAUUGUAUUUUAUUAAUAUAGCUUUAACUCCAAAAUAUCCCCUAGAGUUGACUAUUUCUCCUAUGAUCUAGCAACUACCCAAAAGUUUAAAUUUAAAUAUCACAUCCCUCUAGUUCUGAUUUGUCACAAGUCAUUAUAGUCUAAAAGGCAUAGCACUAAAAAUUUCAGUUCUUAACGUAUCUAUCUUUAAGUUUUAUUGAUUUCUAUUUCUUAUUCUUGAGAAAAUUUCUGCCUCACAGAUUUACUUGUACUAAUAGUCUACAAUACUAGCUAUCUCUUGUGAAUUUCAUCGAAUGUGUCUACUAACUAAGGAUUUUUGAGUAAUUUAAGAAUCCUCAUUUAUUAAUACUUCCACUAUACAUUGUUUCACUGACAGAUUAAUCGUUUAUUCAAAAUUCGACUAAUGAGUUGACGACUACACUCUAAGUCGACCAUCCUAUGGGUAACUAACCAUUACAGACAAUUUUCAAAGUAAUUUUCCUUUUCCACUUUUAAAAAUAUCGGCAUGUCACUCAUAUAUAACUUUGAAAUUCUUAUAAUCGAAAUUUGCAUCACACUUUUAUUUCCUUCAAAAACCAAUAUCAAUGGUAAUAUAAAAUAUUUUCGAAAAGUUUGAAAAUUAUUACUCAGUUUAUUUUCUAAAACCUUUUUGUAUUUAACAAAAAUAAAUUGUCUAUCUCCACGAGGACGAUCCUCAAGUCAUCUAGUUCCAGUCUACUGUUACAUAUUUCAUCUCUAAAUGAUCUCCUUAUACCAAGAACAUUCUAAUCUCUAUCAGUACUGUUACUUUCGCUAUUACUAGUCUAUUAAGUAAAUUGGUCCACACUUUAACUUUUUUUUUUUUUCAAAGGUUAUUGUUAUUUUAUGAUUAUUUUUUAUUUUUUAUUUAUAUUUAUUAUUUAUAUUUAUAUUAUUAUUUUAUCUUUAUUUGUAGUUAUUUAUUUGUUUCUAAUUAUUUAUUGUAGUAUUUCACAGUAGAUAAAUUAACUGACCAUAUUAUCAUCAUCAGCUUUUUACUAUUUAACAUCCCCUAGUUGUCUCCAAGUUCUUUAAAUUUUUUUUAUUAUUUUUUUUUUCUAUCUUUCUUUGAUCCUCCAUUCUCCUCGUAUAUGUCUUAUCCUUAAAAGAGUCUAAUUAUGGAUACAUGAAUCUAUGGCGUAAAACUAUCAUUCUACACAAAAUUUAAUUACAUCCUAAGGUCAUUGUGUCUUAGAUUCCAUUUUUCUGAUUUUUCAA
Molecule: long non-coding RNA, 1926 nt
Filed under: Jatropha curcas
Lineage: Eukaryota; Viridiplantae; Streptophyta; Magnoliopsida; Malpighiales; Euphorbiaceae
Description: long non-coding RNA (JCUR_LNC002993)
Source: RNAcentral